CUGUUGUAUAGUUUAAAACUACUGCACGAUGUCUUUGUGCACCAAAUACCGGCGAGAUGGCACCGUGUAGAAAAGUUCUCACCAUGUGCCUCUGAUACAUGAAAUGAUGGCCACCCAGUAACUCCACAGUAUGUCCCCAGAUGUUUCUUAAAGGGCCAGCAGCAGCACAAUACAAAUCUAUUAUGCCCAAAUCCAGGGCUGCCAUCAGAAAUUU
Pelobates cultripes (western spadefoot toad) is the source of this 214-nucleotide non-coding RNA. Lineage: Eukaryota; Metazoa; Chordata; Amphibia; Anura; Pelobatidae. The record is from the annotation of a GenBank genome assembly.